GUGUCAGCCGCCGCGGUAAUACGUAGGGUGCAAGCGUUGUCCGGAUUUAUUGGGCGUAAAGAGCUCGUAGGCGGUUAGUCACGUCGGAUGUGAAAACUCAGUGCUUAACACUGAGCCUGCAUUCGAUACGGGCUGACUAGAGUAUUGUAGGGGAGACUGGAACUCCUGGUGUAGCGGUGAAAUGCGCAGAUAUCAGGAAGAACACCGGUGGCGAAGGCGGGUCUCUGGGCAAUUACUGACGCUGAGGAGCGAAAGCGUGGGGAGCAAACAGGAUUAGAUACCCUGGUAGUCCACGCCGUAAACGGUGGGCGCUAGGUGUGGGGAACAUUCCACGUUCUCCGUGCCGCAGCUAACGCAUUAAGCGCCCCGCCUGGGGAGUACGGCCGCAAGGCUAAA
Molecule: ribosomal RNA, 396 nt
Filed under: uncultured bacterium
Lineage: Bacteria
Description: bacterial SSU rRNA
Rfam family: Bacterial small subunit ribosomal RNA
Source: RNAcentral